RNAcentral lists this non-coding RNA (114 nucleotides) under uncultured Alterileibacterium sp. RNAcentral's name for it is "THF (Tetrahydrofolate) riboswitch aptamer". It matches the Rfam family "THF (Tetrahydrofolate) riboswitch aptamer". From Rfam's summary of the family: THF riboswitch presents a pseudoknot that joins P1-P2 and the loop of P3 and two THF binding. The record is from RNAcentral. Lineage: Bacteria; Bacillati; Bacillota; Clostridia; Peptostreptococcales; Anaerovoracaceae.
GCAGAGUAGAGAUUAAAGCGUUGAAAGCAUAAGCUUUCCGUAGUGCCUCAUGUACAGGGAGUUGACAGAGGACGAAAAAGUAGAACUUGCGGUUUUAAUCUUGCAUCCCGCUGC